GGGUGCGAUCAUACCAGCACUAAUGCACCGGAUCCCAUCGGAACUCCGCAGUUAAGCUUGCUUGGAUGAUGUGUAGAAGUUUUAUGCAUACCUACUCUGUGAGUAAAUUUUUGGAAUGCAUCCA
Molecule: ribosomal RNA, 124 nt
Filed under: Cephalotus follicularis
Lineage: Eukaryota; Viridiplantae; Streptophyta; Magnoliopsida; Oxalidales; Cephalotaceae
Source: RNAcentral